UGUGGCAGAUUAGUGCAAUGGACUUAAGAUCCAUAUAUAAAUUAGRCCUUUCAUUAAAA
RNAcentral lists this transfer RNA (59 nucleotides) under Andrena fumosa. RNAcentral describes it as "tRNA-Leu". Lineage: Eukaryota; Metazoa; Arthropoda; Insecta; Hymenoptera; Andrenidae. The record is from RNAcentral.